RNAcentral lists this ribosomal RNA (365 nucleotides) under uncultured Streptococcus sp. Its description in RNAcentral is "bacterial SSU rRNA". It matches the Rfam family "Bacterial small subunit ribosomal RNA", at positions 1017 to 1382 of the family's 1533-position model. The record is from RNAcentral. Lineage: Bacteria; Bacillati; Bacillota; Bacilli; Lactobacillales; Streptococcaceae.
ACUUCGGUACAUCGGUGACAGGUGGUGCAUGGUUGUCGGUCAGCUCGUGUCGUGAGAUGUUGGGUUAAGUCCCGCAACGAGCGCAACCCCUAUUGUUAGUUGCCAUCAUUCAGUUGGGCACUCUAGCGAGACUGCCGGUAAUAAACCGGAGGAAGGUGGGGAUGACGUCAAAUCAUCAUGCCCUUACUGACCUGGGCUACACACGUGCUACAAUGGUUGGUACAACGAGUUGCGAGUCGGUGACGGCGAGCUAAUCUCUUAAAGCCAAUCUCAGUUCGGAUUGUAGGCUGCAACUCGCCUACAUGAAGUCGGAAUCGCUAGUAAUCGCGGAUCAGCACGCCGCGGUGAAUACGUUCCCGGGCCUU